Molecule: ribosomal RNA, 253 nt
Filed under: uncultured bacterium
Lineage: Bacteria
Description: partial 16S ribosomal RNA
Rfam family: Bacterial small subunit ribosomal RNA
Source: RNAcentral
CACGGGGGGAGCAAGCGUUGUUCGGAAUUACUGGGCGUAAAGGGCGUGUAGGCGGUCAAGUAAGUGGAAUGUGAAACGCCUCGGCUUACCCGAGGACCUGCAUCCCAAACUGCUUGGCUUGAGUAUGGGAGAGGAUGAGGGAAUUCCUGGUGUAGCGGUGAAAUGCGUAGAUAUCAGGAGGAACACCGGUGGCGAAAGCGCUCAUCUGGCCCAAUACUGACGCUGAGGCGCGAAAGCUAGGGGAGCGAACAGG